Molecule: small RNA, 295 nt
Filed under: Phialocephala subalpina
Lineage: Eukaryota; Fungi; Ascomycota; Leotiomycetes; Helotiales; Mollisiaceae
Description: 5' ureB small RNA
Rfam family: 5' ureB small RNA
Source: Rfam by way of RNAcentral
CCUCAUAAACCUGCUGCGGACAAAUAAAAUGAAUAUGCGUAUCAAACCCACCAGCCGUGACAAUCUUCCCCUCGCCCGCAAUAACAUCCGUACAAGACCCCACAAUCAUAUUCGGGCUCACACCUUCCAUAACAUCCGGAUUGCCCGCCUUCCCAAUCCCCACAAUCUUUCCAUCUUUGACACCAAUAUCCGCUUUAUAGAUACCAGUCCAAUCCACAAUUAAGGCAUUGACGAUCACCAUAUCGAGAGAUAUCCCGUCGGAAACACCGGUUGCUUGACCCAUACCCUCUCGUAG